CGAGUAGCUGGGACUACAGGUGCUCGCCACAAUGCCCGGCUAAUUUUUUUGUACUUUUAGAGACGGGGUUUCACCAUGUUAGCCAGGAUGGUCUCGAUCUCCUGACCUUGUGAUCCUCCUGCCUCGGCCUCCCAAAGUGCUGGGAUUACAAGAGUGACCCACCGCGCCCAGCCUACCCCAUUGGACUUUUAAUAAUUUUUUGUUUGAUUGCCAUUAAUAUACAAAGCCUAAAUAUGGUCUGAUUACCAUAAGUCAUCUGCUUGGAGCGAGGGCAAGGAAUCAAUCUCAUUUGCAGCCAUCAUCAUGAAUCUGCUAUACACUCAGCACAGCAACAUGAAUGCAGCUAGAUGCCAUUAUCUGAAGUGAACUAAUAGAGAAAUAGAAAACCAAAUACCACGUGUUCUUACCUGUAAGUGGGAGCUAAACACUGAGUACAAAUGAACAUUAAAAUGGAAACAGACACUGGGGACUACAAGAAAGGGGAAGGGCAGGAGGGCAAGG
RNAcentral lists this long non-coding RNA (501 nucleotides) under Homo sapiens (human). Its description in RNAcentral is "HSALNT0203240". Lineage: Eukaryota; Metazoa; Chordata; Mammalia; Primates; Hominidae. The record is from RNAcentral.